AUCGUUGAUGAUGAUGAGUUGGUAAUCUAUAUUCUGCAAGGUCUUGAUAUUGAUUACAACCCACUUGUCUCAUCUAUCCUUGGACGCACUGAUCCGAUUCCCUUGGAUGAACUGUAUUCUCAACUUUUGCCAUAUGAUA
This 139-nucleotide small nucleolar RNA is filed under the name Dichanthelium oligosanthes. RNAcentral describes it as "Small nucleolar RNA Z247". It matches the Rfam family "Small nucleolar RNA Z247". Rfam says of the family: Z247 is a member of the C/D class of snoRNA which contain the C (UGAUGA) and D (CUGA) box motifs. Most of the members of the box C/D family function in directing site-specific 2'-O-methylation of substrate RNAs. The record is from Rfam by way of RNAcentral. Lineage: Eukaryota; Viridiplantae; Streptophyta; Magnoliopsida; Poales; Poaceae.